Molecule: long non-coding RNA, 975 nt
Organism: Heterocephalus glaber (naked mole-rat)
Lineage: Eukaryota; Metazoa; Chordata; Mammalia; Rodentia; Bathyergidae
Source: Ensembl
UGUUAAUUUUCCAGACAUUUAGAUCUCCUUGAGUUGGUUGUGCUAAUCCAGACAUAUAUAGAAUUGAGAUCUACUGAUGUCUGAAAAUUAGCUUGGAUUGGAAACUUUCAAUGAAUCUUAAACUGGACUUUAAAAGCCUUGUAUUAAUGUACUAUGUCUUCUAUCUGUAGGCUAGGAAAGUCAAGCUUGAGAUACUACAUCAUGUUUGAUCUGGUGUUACAAUAAAUCUGGACGAAUUUCUCUCUUUGAGGUUUCCUAAAUUUGCCAAGGUCCCUCCCGGGGUUUGUCUGAGAAUGACCUUCCUCCCUGCUCUGGGAUUGGACUUCUGAACCGGUUUCUUUGGGAGAAUGUCAGGCAUUGGCUCUAUAUGCUUAAAUGAGGUUAUUGUUACAAUAAAGCUUUGACUUUGGGAAAAAUGAUAUUUUAUAGGAUUAGCAAUACAAUAGAAGGAACGUGGUCCCUGAUCAACUUUUUGUAAAGGUGUGACUCAGUUUGAAAGACUGGCUACUGCCUUCUGUGAGAAAGAAGUCUGACAGAAAGCCAGUAGGAAAAUACCAAGAAGUGUGAGAAGCACACAGGAAAACUUCAAAACAUGCUAAACAUCAUGGAGGCCUGGAUGCAGAACAGAAAUGUAAAAUUGUGAAAGGCCCAGAAAUUCACUCUUACAGUUUGAAUUUUAAGAAAGUAACACUUAAAAAAUUCAAGAAUCAAACUUUCAACAUAAUACCUAUGAGAAAGUCUUCUUUAAAACAUAACAUUGGCUGGGAAAUGAUUUCAAAGGCAAAGGUUAUACCUGAAGUCAAACAACGCAAGCAUGUCAUACAUAACUCCGUGAUACUCUAAAAGAAUUACAAGAAUACAAAAACAAUACAAAAUGGAAAUGUUUGGGACCAUGAGACUGAAUAGGAAGGAAGUCGCAAAAGAUCUGCAAAGGAAAAAACUGAAAAAGGGAGAUAUGUUAACAUAUCAGUGCGG